GACGAACGCUGGCGGCGUGCCUAAUACAUGCAAGUUGAGCGAUGAAGAUUGGUGCUUGCCCCAAUUUGAAGAGCAGCGAACGGGUGAGUAACGCGUGGGGAAUCUGCCUUUGAGCGGGGGACAACAUUUGGAAACGAAUGCUAAUACCGCAUAACAACUUUAAACAUAAGUUUUAAGUUUGAAAGAUGCAAUUGCAUCACUCAAAGAUGAUCCCGCGUUGUAUUAGCUAGUUGGUGAGGUAAAGGCUCACCAAGGCGAUGAUACAUAGCCGACCUGAGAGGGUGAUCGGCCACAUUGGGACUGAGACACGGCCCAAACUCCUACGGGAGGCAGCAGCAGGGAAUCUUCGGCAAUGGACGAAAGUCUGACCGAGCAACGCCGCGUGAGGGAAGAAGGGUUUCGGAUCGUAAAACUCUGUUGGUAGAGAAGAACGUUGGUGAGAGUGGAAAGCUCAUCAAGUGACGGUAACUACCCAGAAAGGGACGGCUAACUACGUG
Molecule: ribosomal RNA, 497 nt
Filed under: uncultured bacterium
Lineage: Bacteria
Description: partial 16S ribosomal RNA
Rfam family: Bacterial small subunit ribosomal RNA
Source: RNAcentral